This is a long non-coding RNA of Chinchilla lanigera (long-tailed chinchilla), 997 nucleotides long. RefSeq lists it as uncharacterized. The transcript has 5 exons. Lineage: Eukaryota; Metazoa; Chordata; Mammalia; Rodentia; Chinchillidae. The record is from RefSeq and is a predicted model, not a curated record.
GGCGCAGGCAUGAGACAAGGGUAGGACCCCGGAAGAGGAGGAUGCGGGUGCCUUUGCUGUGAACACAACAAAGCUUUCUAGGUCUGGAUCACCAAUGGCAGGCUGCCCAGAAUUUUUACUGUUUGUAAAGACUGAAGAUGUGGAUUCUGACAACUCAGUCAAAGACAGACACAGAAUUAUACAAAGUUGGGUGGAGUCACUCAGGGAGAUCGGAAGAUGGACAUUUAAGGCCCUGACUAUAAGUUUCUUUGUGUAUGUUUAUGUGUGUGCGUGUAUGAGGGUUUAGGCAAGGUGACUGAACCUGUGCCCCUCCUAAAUAUCAAUAUAAAAUGAUAUUUAAUUGGUUUGGGUUUCAAUUAAACAUGCGAGUAAAAUCAGAUUGAGAAUCCCAUAGACACCGUGGUAAUAAAGAGGAGCUCUUUGAAAAUGGCUCAUUAAUUCCGCAGACAAAAAGUGCACCUCUCAGUGCACUGAGCUGUGAUGAUUUCAGGGGCAGUGCAGUUGAUGAAGCAAUCAGCCUUGUGGAAGAGGGCAGCAGCAGACACCAGGAAGGGCAGGACAGCAAGUAUUCUAGGUUGUGUAGUCCACUUUGUAAAUACCAGUUUCCAUCCAAAAGGCAGAAGCCAGAGGAAUUGAACUCAUGACCUAAUGCUUGCCAGGGCAGAAUUGUGCCACUGAACUAUAUCCCUAGCUGUUUAACAUAUUGAAGAACUGCCAAACUGGUUUUCAAAGUGACUUAACAGUUUUACAUUCACAACAAUAACUUCAUUGGCUCUCCUGCCUUGAUAGGAAGACAAUGACCCCAUGAGGAUGUGACAUGUGACUGUAAGUGUGCACUGUACAAUGACUCUCUUCAAGAAAAAGAGAAAAUAGUGAAUCCCCAGAGACUUUCCCCUUGAGAACCAACAUCUUCGGUUUUCUUGCCCCUGUUCUCUGAGGUGAGAACUGAGAAGCCUAACAACAGAUCACAAAAUAAAUAUAUAAAUAAAUGCAAAAA